RNAcentral lists this transfer RNA (72 nucleotides) under Actinomadura madurae. RNAcentral's name for it is "tRNA-Thr(cgt)". The record is from RNAcentral. Lineage: Bacteria; Bacillati; Actinomycetota; Actinomycetes; Streptosporangiales; Thermomonosporaceae.
GCCGCCGUGCACGGCUUGCGGCCCCGCCUUCGUACGGCGGGCGGUCCGGUUCGACACCGGGGGGCGGCUCCA